RNAcentral lists this ribosomal RNA (253 nucleotides) under uncultured bacterium. RNAcentral's name for it is "partial 16S ribosomal RNA". It matches the Rfam family "Bacterial small subunit ribosomal RNA", at positions 524 to 776 of the family's 1533-position model. The record is from RNAcentral.
UACGUAGGGUCCGAGCGUUGUCCGGAAUUACUGGGCGUAAAGAGCUCGUAGGUGGUUUGUCGCGUUGUCCGUGAAAACUCACAGCUCAACUGUGGGCGUGCGGGCGAUACGGGCAGACUGGAGUACUGCAGGGGAGACUGGAAUUCCUGGUGUAGCGGUGAAAUGCGCAGAUAUCAGGAGGAACACCGGUGGCGAAGGCGGUUCUCUGGGCAUGUCUUGACGCUGAGGAGCGAAAGUGUGGGGAGCGAACAGG